UAUUUAUAAGAAGAAACACUUAGGAUUAUUCACAAGACGAUACAUUCAUAAUUUAUUUACAAGGAGAUACAUUUAGAAUUUGAUCACAAGAAAGAUAUGACCCAUAUUAUACAAGGAAAAAAGUGAAAAUCUACUUUAUUCUAUAAAUAGAUACUCAAUGUUGAAGAAGAAAUCACGAACUCAUAAACCCAUAAAUCGAUACAAUUCAGAAAAACUUUUGAGAGCUCAAAUUUUCUAAGUCUUCAAAGUUCAAGUGUUUUAGUGUGAGAAAUCAAUUGUAGCAGUCUGCUUAAUAGUAGCAAAACACAAUUCGUUCCAAAUUUGUGUAACCCAACCCGAUAGUGGCUUUAGUGUUCCUUAAGCAAUAUGUGGUUUUUGGAUUGUGUUGAGAAAACUUGACUUGUUAGGUCAAGGUUUAGUUUCCUUCAACAAUUUGUAGUUUUUAUGUUGUGUGGCGAAGACUUGACUUGUAGGAUUAGGUGUUGUGUAAUUGAAGGAUUUGAAUUAGUGGUUAAAUCCUUCUAAGUGAAUGGACAUGAUGUAGCUACCAAGUUGGUGGUUAACCAGGAUACAUUUGUUUGUGUCACUUUACUUAUGCACUCUUUACUUUAUGGUUGCCUCUGAUUACUUAAGUUUAAUUGUUAUUGCCUCUAUUUUAAUUAAAAUAUCCAAACUCGAACCAGUUCUUGAAUAAAUAAUUAAAAGAAAUUCAACUUAGACAAACACAAUUCAACCCCCCCUUCACGCUUGAGCUUCAACCCCUCCUGGCUGGUGAUAAAAUCCAACUCAAUACCUACCUUUUGAGCCAAUAAAGGUUUUAGCUCACCAUCAAAACGCGUGGACUCAGUAUAUAAGAUAACUAUUCACGUUUUGCUAUUGGUGUUUACGCACCGCUUACGUUAAUCGCUAUAACAUCAAAUUGGUUUCUUCUUCAACGUCAGAAUGAGAGGAUUUAUUUCCAAAUCUUUGUCGAACCAUGGUGGAAAUGUGGCAAUCUCAAAAUGUAGAGCUAGGUCAUCGAAAAAGUUUUUUUGAGGGUACCUCUCUUCUAUGCAAAAAAAACAUGGUCUAAUUCACCAACAACUCAAGAAUUAAGAAAACUCUAGUGGUGGCUAACAUAGUAUAUUUGAGAUAAUGAAUAAAAGUUUGUCCGGUCCUUUUAGUUUUUACAUUAGUUUUUACAGUGGCUAACCUGCAAUAUUGAACAUCUUUAUCCUAUUAACCUUUCAAGAUGCAAAUGAAACCUUUGUCAAAAAUUAAAUAAAAUUCAAGAGACCUCUCGUGCGCCAAUCCAAGACCUAGUUGGCAAUGAUUUUUUGACAAGAUAUCAUUCCAUGACUCUAAGAC
RNAcentral lists this long non-coding RNA (1347 nucleotides) under Cicer arietinum (chickpea). RNAcentral describes it as "long non-coding RNA (CARI_LNC000222)". The record is from RNAcentral. Lineage: Eukaryota; Viridiplantae; Streptophyta; Magnoliopsida; Fabales; Fabaceae.